Molecule: transfer RNA, 72 nt
Filed under: Bacteroidota bacterium
Lineage: Bacteria; Pseudomonadati; Bacteroidota
Description: tRNA-Met
Rfam family: tRNA
About the family: Transfer RNA (tRNA) molecules are approximately 80 nucleotides in length.
Source: RNAcentral
UGCGGGAUGGAGCAGUGGUAGCUCACCGGGCUCAUAACCCGGGGGUCGUUGGUUCGAGUCCAGCUCCCGCUA